AUACGGAGGAUCCGAGCGUUAUCCGGAUUUAUUGGGUUUAAAGGGUGCGCAGGCGGGAGAUUAAGUCGGCGGUGAAAUUUUGCAGCUCAACUGUAAAAAUGCCUUCGAAACUGGGUUCCUUGAGUGUAGAUGAAGGAGGCGGAAUUUGUGGUGUAGCGGUGAAAUGCAUAGAUAUCACGAGGAACUCCGAUUGCGCAGGCAGCUUACUAAACUACUACUGACGCUCAGGCACGAAGGCGUGGGGAUCAAACAGGAUUAGAUACCCUGGUAGUCCACGCAGUAAACGAUGAUUACUAGCUGUUUGCGAUACAAUGUAAGCGGCUGAGCGAAAGCGUUAAGUAAUCCACCUGGGGAGUACGUUCGCAAGAAUGAAACUUAAAGGAAUUGACGGGG
Molecule: ribosomal RNA, 393 nt
Filed under: uncultured bacterium
Lineage: Bacteria
Description: partial 16S ribosomal RNA
Rfam family: Bacterial small subunit ribosomal RNA
Source: RNAcentral